AAGCGGAGGAAAAGAAACUAACAAGGAUUCCCCUAGUAACGGCGAGUGAAGAGGGAAGAGCUCAAAUUUUAAAUCUGCCUUGUUCCAAGGUCGAGUUGUAAUUUGAAGAAGCGUUUUCUUGGGCUCGCGGCCGGUAGAAGUUCUUUGGAACAGGACAUCAUAGAGGGUGACAAUCCCGUCCGUGACCGGUCGUGCGUUCAUCUACGAUACGCUUUCAAAGAGUCGAGUUGUUUGGGAUUGCAGCUCCAAACGGGUGGUAAACAUCACCUAAGGCUAAAUAUUGGCGAGAGACCGAUAGCGAACAAGUACCGUGAGGGAAAGAUGAAAAGAACUUUGAAAAGAGAGUUAAACAGUACGUGAAAUUGUUGAAAGGGAAACGAUUGAAGUCAGUCGUGCUGGCGCGAAAUCAACCCUCUCGUCUUGAGAUCACAUGGCGCGACGAGCCUCAAAACCGUCACGAAGCGUGAACUCUUGACGAAAAGGUGCACUUUCGUGUCCGCUGGUUAACAUCAAUUUCGAACGUCAUAAAAAGGCUGGAGGGAUGUGGCUCCUUCGGGAGUGUUAUAACCUUUAGCGGAAUGUGGCGUUCGGGAUUGAGGAUUGCAACGAAUACCUUCAGGGCUGUUCCACCUGGCUUCUCAUUGGUAUCCUGGUGACGACAGCUUGCUGACGUCGUUAGGAUCAGCUUCUGAACAGGCUAGAGUGUGAGCAAAUUCGUUAAGGAUGUUAACGUAAUGGCUUUAAACGACC
RNAcentral lists this ribosomal RNA (750 nucleotides) under Glomeromycotina sp. OTU31 DJMC-2012. RNAcentral's name for it is "eukaryotic LSU rRNA". It matches the Rfam family "Eukaryotic large subunit ribosomal RNA", at positions 48 to 649 of the family's 3401-position model. The record is from RNAcentral. Lineage: Eukaryota; Fungi; Glomeromycota.